GGAAUCUGCCUAGUAGUGGGGGAUAACGUCCGGAAACGGGCGCUAAUACCGCAUACGUCCUACGGGAGAAAGUGGGGGAUCUUCGGACCUCACGCUAUUAGAUGAGCCUAGGUCGGAUUAGCUAGUUGGUGAGGUAAUGGCUCACCAAGGCGACGAUCCGUAACUGGUCUGAGAGGAUGAUCAGUCACACUGGAACUGAGACACGGUCCAGACUCCUACGGGAGGCAGCAGUGGGGAAUAUUGGACAAUGGGCGAAAGCCUGAUCCAGCCAUGCCGCGUGUGUGAAGAAGGUCUUCGGAUUGUAAAGCACUUUAAGUUGGGAGGAAGGGCAGUAACCUAAUACGUUAUUGUUUUGACGUUACCGACAGAAUAAGCACCGGCUAACUCUGUGCCAGCAGCCGCGGUAAUACAGAGGGUGCAAGCGUUAAUCGGAAUUACUGGGCGUAAAGCGCGCGUAGGUGGUUUGUUAAGUUGAAUGUGAAAUCCCCGGGCUCAACCUGGGAACUGCAUCCAAAACUGGCAAGCUAGAGUAUGGCAGAGGGUGGUGGAAUUUCCUGUGUAGCGGUGAAAUGCGUAGAUAUAGGAAGGAACACCAGU
Molecule: ribosomal RNA, 597 nt
Filed under: uncultured Pseudomonas sp.
Lineage: Bacteria; Pseudomonadati; Pseudomonadota; Gammaproteobacteria; Pseudomonadales; Pseudomonadaceae
Description: bacterial SSU rRNA
Rfam family: Bacterial small subunit ribosomal RNA
Source: RNAcentral